RNAcentral lists this unclassified non-coding RNA (166 nucleotides) under uncultured Phialophora. RNAcentral describes it as "sequence contains ITS2". Lineage: Eukaryota; Fungi; Ascomycota; Leotiomycetes. The record is from RNAcentral.
UCACCCCUCAAGCCCGGCUUGCUGUUGGUGCUGGCGUGGCUUUAGGCCUCGUCCCGCCCAAAGAUAAUGACGGCGUCUGUGAGGACCCCUGUACACUGAGCUCUUGGGCACGUACACGGUUGGGAGUCCAGGCGCCGGUCGAUGUCCGCAAGGACACUUUUUCUAA